RNAcentral lists this small RNA (786 nucleotides) under Spisula solidissima (Atlantic surf clam). RNAcentral describes it as "cnRNA288". The record is from RNAcentral. Lineage: Eukaryota; Metazoa; Mollusca; Bivalvia; Venerida; Mactridae.
AAUGAAGAGCAACGCAACCUAUUUAGAUCCAAAUAUGAAUGCUACAACUUUGGAUAUACAUCUGAUUCAGUAGCUAGUAUGUAUUUGAGAGAAACAAUGAAUGAUUAUAAACGGACAAACGAGAAAAACAAUAUCACAAUUAGUGAUCAACAGCGCAGAAUUCGUGAUCUAGAACAGAUGAACAAGGAUAAAAGUGAAAGGAUAAGUGACCUAGAGCGUAGUGCAAGUAAUCUACAGAGCAAGUAUGACGAACUAAGAAAAACGGCCUUCGAAAUGAGGGAGGUACUUUGUCCCUUUUGUUUUGUUUUAACAGCCGUGUUCGGUCGUCGAUUGUAAAUUUAGAUAUUUUGGCGAGAGCACAAUGUUUGCGGAUUUGUUAAUCUGAAAUAGUUCGCUAGAUUGAAUGCGUGCAUUUCACUUACUUUAAAUAUUUUUUUUAUUCCAAUAAUAUAUAACUGCUUAAAUAUUUUUUUAAACGCAGUUUUCGUCCAAGAAAAUACUAGUAGAAAUGUUUAAUGUAAGUAAUAACAGGACAACCAACUUGAACUAAAAUUAUUACCUAUAAAGAAUUAUCGGUUUCAAUUUUAUAGUUUAACUUUUACCUACCAUUCAACCUUACGCCUUUUCAAAAGACAUUUCUUUUAUUGGUAUUCGCCGUUAGCAUCCAUCUGUCACAGUAGCUUUUAAGAAGACCGAAGCUCGUUUGCUUUCGGUGAAAAUUCAGAUAUACAGAAUUUAAUCGUUUUCAAAUAAGUUUUGGGGUCCUCUACAUAUUUGAAAACGAUU